UUGCUUUAGGGAUGGAAUGAUAUCCCCUGAUAUUCACUUCACCCUCUUCACUUUGUCAGCGAUUUCAUUAGUCUGACUAGUUUUACAAGUUGCUGAUCAUUUAUGGGUGGGAGAUCU
Small nucleolar RNA from Lactuca sativa (garden lettuce), 117 nucleotides. RefSeq annotates it as small nucleolar RNA snoR99. The record is from RefSeq and is a predicted model, not a curated record. NCBI's taxonomy places the organism in Eukaryota, Viridiplantae, Streptophyta, Magnoliopsida, Asterales, Asteraceae.